GGUAUGUGCUGAGGCUGUGUCU
This 22-nucleotide non-coding RNA is filed under the name Rattus norvegicus (Norway rat). Lineage: Eukaryota; Metazoa; Chordata; Mammalia; Rodentia; Muridae. The record is from RNAcentral.